Molecule: small RNA, 1615 nt
Filed under: Pan troglodytes (chimpanzee)
Lineage: Eukaryota; Metazoa; Chordata; Mammalia; Primates; Hominidae
Description: retained intron
Source: RNAcentral
UUAUUUAUUUUGGGGGGACAGAGUCUUGCUCUGUCGCCCAGGCUGGAAUGCAGUGGCACAAUCAUGGCUCACUGCAGCCUCAACUCCCCAGGCUCAACAGAUCCUCCCACCUCAGCCUCCCAAGUAGAUGGGACUACAAGCAUGCCCAGCUAAUUUUGUUUUAAUUUUUUUUUUUUUUAAGAGAUGAGAUCUCCCUGUGUUGCCCAGGCUGAUCUCAAAACUCCUGGACUUAAGGGAUCCUCCUGCCUCAGCCUCCCAAAGUGCUGAGAUUAUAGGCAUAAGCCACGAUGCCCAACCCAUAUGAAUUAUUAUUGAUACCACCAUGCAUGGCUUAAGAAUCCAGUCCUCCUAAUGUAAUAGACCUGUUGGAAGUAUGGUUGACUAAAUACAGAUUCAGAAUUUCCUUACUUUUUAAUUUUUUUAUUAUGGAUUUAGAGGGUACAAGUGCACAUGGGUAUAUUAGAUAGUGGUGAAGUCUGGCCUUUCAGUGUAACCAUCACUCGAAUAAUGUACAUUAUACCCAACAGGUAAUUUCUCAUCCCUCACCCCCCUACCAUGUUCUGGUAAUUACCUUGUUUUAAUAAAAAUACUAUAUGCUAAGUUGGGAAAAUAAAAUUCAAAGAUGUCAAUUAAAAAACUAAAAGACAAUUUUUUUUCCACAUGCUUUUCAGGAGCCUUAAUAAGUAAGUAAAAAAUCACAGAUUUAGAAACACAUUUUCUCAGGUAUUUUAAAUAGAACAUUCCUUUGAAGUCCCAGAGGCCACAAUUUCCUUAUAUUAAUACUGUGAACUUAUGUCUUGGGUUUUUGAUGAGCAAGUGAAUCAUAUGGUAGACACAUGAUAGUGUUCAUUUUUUCCUCAUUCCCCUGCUGUCUUUGUCGAGGUGCUAGCUCAGUUUCCUUUCUGACCAGAACAAUACUAGAUCAAGACUGGUGUGGAACAGGAAUUAAAGUAAUUUGAAAUGUGUCCUUAAACCUGAUUUUUACUUACCUUUCCAAUUGUGUGGACUUUAUUUUUAAGAUCAAAAUGAAAAACUCGUUCAAGAAAAUAGAGAACUACAGUUACAGUAUCUGGAACAAAAGCAACAACUUGAUGAACUUAAAAAACGCAUAAAAUUGUACAACCAGGAGAAUGAUAUUAAUGCUGAUGAAUUGAGUGAAGCUCUCCUACUUAUAAAGGCUCAAAAAGAACAAAAAAAUGGAGACCUUUCCUUUUUAGUGAAAGUAGAUAGUGAAAUUAAUAAAGAUCUAGAACGCUCUAUGAGAGAGCUGCAAGCAACUCAUGCAGAAACGGUGCAAGAGCUGGAAAAGACAAGAAACAUGCUAAUUAUGCAACACAAAAUUAAUAAAGAUUAUCAGAUGGAGGUUGAGGCAGUGACCUGUAAGAUGGAAAAUUUGCAGCAAGAUUAUGAACUCAAAGUGGAACAGUAUGUUCAUCUUCUUGAUAUCAGGGCUGCACGUAUCCAUAAACUAGAAGAAGCUGUAAGUUUGGGGAGCAUAUAAGUGUUCUUCAGCUGUUGGAGUUUUGCAUAUUCUCCAUAACCACAAUUUUCACAGAAAAGCAAGGCAGAUAUUCACGUUGGUGAUAUUUGGUUGGCCUAUGUAUAUAAUGGUGAA